Triticum urartu is the source of this 85-nucleotide non-coding RNA. The record is from Rfam. NCBI's taxonomy places the organism in Eukaryota, Viridiplantae, Streptophyta, Magnoliopsida, Poales, Poaceae.
AGCCUGAUGCUGCUUAAUGCUACAUCAAAGGUAAAGAUAAUCCCUUGGAGUAAACAUGAGCGAUAAAAUUACCCACGUGACCGAU